This 281-nucleotide ribosomal RNA is filed under the name uncultured bacterium. RNAcentral describes it as "partial 16S ribosomal RNA". It matches the Rfam family "Bacterial small subunit ribosomal RNA", at positions 506 to 784 of the family's 1533-position model. The record is from RNAcentral.
UGCCAGCCGCCGCGGUAAUACGGAGGGUCCAAGCGUUAUCCGGAUUUAUUAGGUUUAAAGGGUCCGCAGGCGGGAUUUUAAGUCAGUGGUGAAAGCCUACAGCUCAACUGUAGAACUGCCAUUGAAACUGAUAUCCUUGAGUGUGGUUGAAGUGGGCGGAAUAUGUCAUGUAGCGGUGAAAUGCUUAGAUAUGACAUAGAACACCAAUUGCGAAAGGCAGCUCACUAAGCCAAUUACUGACGCUGAGGGACGAAAGCGUGGGGAGCGAACAGGAUUAGAUA